This 848-nucleotide ribosomal RNA is filed under the name uncultured bacterium. RNAcentral describes it as "bacterial SSU rRNA". It matches the Rfam family "Bacterial small subunit ribosomal RNA", at positions 49 to 874 of the family's 1533-position model. The record is from RNAcentral.
UAACACAUGCAAGUCGAACGUGAUUAGAGAGCUUGCUCUCUAUGAAAGUGGCGCACGUGUGAGUAACGCGUAGAUAAUCUACCUGAUGAUCUGGGAUAACACUUCGAAAGGGGUGCUAAUACCGGAUAAGCCCACGGAGUCCUUGGACACUGCGGGAAAAGGGGGGGAUCGCAAGACCUUUCGUCAUCAGAUGAGUCUGCGUACCAUUAGCUAGUUGGUAGGGUAAAGGCCUACCAAGGCGACGAUGGUUAGCUGGUCUGAGAGGAUGAUCAGCCACACUGGAACUGAGACACGGUCCAGACUCCUACGGGAGGCAGCAGUGGGGAAUUUUGCGCAAUGGGGGAAACCCUGACGCAGCAACGCCGCGUGAGUGAUGAAGGCCCUUGGGUCGUAAAGCUCUGACAGAGGGAAAGAAAUGUGGGUGGCUAAUAUCCAUUCCACUUGACGGUACCCUCAAAGGAAGCACCGGCUAACUCCGUGCCAGCAGCCGCGGUAAUACGGGGGGUGCAAGCGUUGUUCGGAUUUAUUGGGCGUAAAGCGCGUGUAGGCGGUUUUUUAAGUCUGAUGUGAAAGCCCCGGGCUCAACCUGGGAAGUGCAUUGGAUACUGGAAGACUUGAAUACGGGAGAGGGAAGUGGAAUUCCUGGUGUAGGAGUGAAAUCCGUAGAUAUCAGGAGGAACACCGGUGGCGAAGGCGGCUUCCUGGACCGAUAUUGACGCUGAGACGCGAAAGCGUGGGUAGCAAACAGGAUUAGAUACCCUGGUAGUCCACGCCGUAAACGAUGAGUACUAGGUGUUGCGGGUAUUGACCCCUGCAGUGCCGCAGCUAACGCAUUAAGUACUCCGCCU